UUAUUUAGACUAUGAACAUUAUAAAAAGCUAGAGCUUUCUUAUUCUAUGAACUCCAAUCUAUAUCUCAAGCCUCGCGGGUGUUGAUAUGCAAAUGCAAACAUAGGGAAAGCAUCUUAAAGCUCUUUAGAAUCAAAGCGCAAGCAAGAAAACGGUGAGAAACCUUAAACCUUUACUCUGUUUUCUCUUUUCGAUUUGUGUAAUUUCU
This 206-nucleotide long non-coding RNA is filed under the name Arabidopsis lyrata. RNAcentral's name for it is "long non-coding RNA (ALYR_LNC001341)". The record is from RNAcentral. Lineage: Eukaryota; Viridiplantae; Streptophyta; Magnoliopsida; Brassicales; Brassicaceae.